This 225-nucleotide ribosomal RNA is filed under the name uncultured bacterium. Its description in RNAcentral is "partial 16S ribosomal RNA". It matches the Rfam family "Bacterial small subunit ribosomal RNA", at positions 14 to 230 of the family's 1533-position model. The record is from RNAcentral.
GUAUCAUGGCUCAGGAUGAACGCUAGCUACAGGCUUAACACAUGCAAGUCGAGGGGCAGCAUGGUCUUAGCUUGCUAAGGCCGAUGGCGACCGGCGCACGGGUGAGUAACACGUAUCCAACCUGCCGUCUACUCUUGGACAGCCUUCUGAAAGGAAGAUUAAUACAAGAUGGCAUCAUGAGUCCGCAUGUUCACAUGAUUAAAGGUGUUCUGGUAGACGAUGGGG